Molecule: long non-coding RNA, 156 nt
Organism: Saccostrea echinata
Lineage: Eukaryota; Metazoa; Mollusca; Bivalvia; Ostreida; Ostreidae
Exons: 2
Source: RefSeq, a predicted model, not a curated record
AUAGAUGUCCUCUAGGACAGGUCUGUAGGAGUGGAUAUUGUGUAAGAGGUUUUUACAGAUGACGGAAGCAGAAACUCAUUGGCAAAGGAAGAAAAAGAAAGAAGGAUAUUAAAAUCAAAAUCUAUGUCUUACAAAAAUAAAAGUAUGUUUGAUGCA